AGAACGAACGCUGGCGGCAGGCUUAACACAUGCAAGUCGAGCGCCCAGCAAUGGGAGCGGCGGACGGGUGAGUAACACGUGGGAACAUGCCCUUUGGUACGGAACAACUCAGGGAAACUUGAGCUAAUACCGUAUGUGCCGGUAACGGGAAAGAUUUAUCGCCAAAGGAUUGGCCCGCGUCCGAUUAGCUAGUUGGUGAGGUAACGGCCCACCAAGGCUCCGAUCGGUAGCUGGUUUGAGAGAACGACCAGCCACACUGGGACUGAGACACGGCCCAGACUCCUACGGGAGGCAGCAGUGGGGAAUCUUGGACAAUGGGGGAAACCCUGAUCCAGCCAUGCCGCGUGAGUGAUGAAGGCCUUCGGGUUGUAAAACUCUUUCGACGGGGACGAUAAUGACGGUACCCGUAGAGAAGCUCGGCUAACUCGUGCCAGCAGCCG
RNAcentral lists this ribosomal RNA (440 nucleotides) under uncultured bacterium. Its description in RNAcentral is "SSU rRNA". It matches the Rfam family "Bacterial small subunit ribosomal RNA", at positions 26 to 517 of the family's 1533-position model. The record is from RNAcentral.